CCUACGUGUGGCAGCAGUGGGGAAUAUUGCACAAUGGGGGAAACCCUGAUGCAGCGACGCCGCGUGAGUGAAGAAGUAUUUCGGUAUGUAAAGCUCUGUCAGCAGGGAAGAAAAUGACGGUACCUGACCAAUAAGCCCCGGCUAACGACGUGCCAGCAGCCGCGGUACUACGUAGGGGGCAAGCGUUAUCCGGAUUUACUGGUUGUAAAGGGAGCGUAGACGGAAGGGCAAGUCUGGAGUGAAAGGCGGGGGCUCAACCCCAGGACUGCUCUGGAAACUGCCAGGCUGGAGUGCGGGAGAGGUAAGUGGAAUUCCUAGUGUAGCGGUGAAAUGCGUAGAUAUUAGGAGGAACACCAGUGGCGAAGGCGGCUUGCUGGACUGUAACUGACGUUGAGGCUCGAAAGCGUGGGGAGCAAACAGGAUUAGAUACCCCUGUAGUC
This 440-nucleotide ribosomal RNA is filed under the name uncultured bacterium. RNAcentral describes it as "partial 16S ribosomal RNA". It matches the Rfam family "Bacterial small subunit ribosomal RNA", at positions 338 to 795 of the family's 1533-position model. The record is from RNAcentral.